Molecule: long non-coding RNA, 799 nt
Organism: Salvelinus sp. IW2-2015
Lineage: Eukaryota; Metazoa; Chordata; Actinopteri; Salmoniformes; Salmonidae
Source: RefSeq, a predicted model, not a curated record
UUUACCUGCAGGCGGACGUGCUGCCUCACCUGACGUGGCUUUCAAAAGUAUCCCAAAAGGAGGAUGUAAACUUCCUGGCCAUAAAAGAGCAGGUCCCUGUGACAAUGGCAUCACUCCUUGCCAUAAAAACAUUCUGAUGAUUCCCAGCCCCCGCGGUCAUUUCUGAGCCAACUCCACCAGGACCUCGAUGACCCAAGGGGUCUGGGGGCAUUCAACAUCAAGGAGGAGGAGAGGAGAGGAGAGGGAGAGGCCAGGUGGAGAAGACCAAGACCAGGGAGCAGUUCUGGGCUCGGUUCAGAGACGAGGUCAUGGACAGCCUAGACCGGAGGUUCCAACACCUGGAGAUUCUGGAGGCCUUCAGUGUGUUGGGACCUUAGGCUGUGUUCUCUAGUGAGAGAACAAACAACUUUAACCUGGCCCUCCUUUCCAGGCAGUUCUUGCAAGCGCCAGAGGCUGCUGUCCUGCAAGAGUGGCACUCUCACAAGCAACAUGUGCUAGUUGGAGCAUUAAAGGUGUGGCAUGAGUGUGACAAUCUUUUGAAGAGAACAUUUUAGGCCAGUGUUGGCCAACCCUUUUUCCUGUUGAACUACCACUCUGUUGGCUCUUCUAUAAUGUUGUACGUCUUUUAGUUUUUCAUGUAUUUCAGGGGUUGGACCAGCUGACGACAAUGACAAAGCUGGCCUCGCAGUUUGAUGAGUGGGGGCAGCUCUACCCCUCUCUCGUUAUCACAGGUGUGAGUGUUGACGAGGACAAGGCUGGAGAUCACUCUGUCAUGCUGAUUGAGUUCGAAUAACAGACU